Molecule: ribosomal RNA, 642 nt
Filed under: Triticum aestivum (bread wheat)
Lineage: Eukaryota; Viridiplantae; Streptophyta; Magnoliopsida; Poales; Poaceae
Description: partial small subunit ribosomal RNA
Source: RNAcentral
AUGUAUGUCAUGCUAUUUACAAGACCUGAUAUAUGCCAUGCCGUGGGUUUAUUGAGUAGAUAUCAAAUGAAUCAUGGACCUGAACACUGGAAACAGAUUAGGAACACUUUGGGUUAUGUCAAAGGAAUUAUGGCCUAUUUUUUUAGUGGACACAAUCUUCAGCUGCAGGGCUUUACUAAUGCUGAUUGGCAAGGGAAUCUUGAUGAGCGAAAAUCAACUUCUGGUUAUAUGUUUACACUAGCAGGAGGAGCUAUUUCCUGGAGUAGCAAGAAGAAAGAUUCUGUAGCACUUCCAUCUAUGGAGGCAGAAUAUAUUUCUACGUCGGAAGCUGUGAAACAAGGUGUAUGGUUAAAGGAGUUUCUUGCAUUUCUCGGGGUGGUGGAAAGCAUUUCAUUUCCUGUUACUAUUUUCUGUGAUAACGAGGCAGCAAUCAAGGUCUCAAAGGAUCCCAAGUUUCAUAGAAAAACCAAACAUAUUGAGAGAAGGUAUCGUUACAUUCGUGACAUUGUUAAUAGAUUAAGAACAACUCGGUUAGAUUAUUUACCUAGUGUGGACAUGGUUGUUGAUCCACUGACUAAACCUCCUAGUCAGGAGGUAUUUUGUAAACAUGUUUGCAACAUGGGUCUUCGUUUAUGGAAUUAG